AGGUAGUCUAAGAGUUUGGGCUGAAAAAGAGCAAAUGUAAUCACUCAGUCUGCUACAGACAAUUAGCAGCAGGCAUUAUUCUUCUUGUUGUAUAUGUGGAUGAUAUUGUCAUUACAGGAAGUGAUUAUACAGGGAUAUCUUCUCUCAAGUCCUUUUUGCAUACCAGGUUUCAUACAAAAGACUUGGGCCAGGUAAAAUACUUCUUGGGAAUAAAAGUAACAAGAAGCAAGAAGGGAAUUUUUCUGUCUCAGAGAAAGCAUGUUCU
This 265-nucleotide unclassified non-coding RNA is filed under the name Hevea brasiliensis (rubber tree). The record is from RNAcentral. Lineage: Eukaryota; Viridiplantae; Streptophyta; Magnoliopsida; Malpighiales; Euphorbiaceae.